AUACGUAGGGGGCAAGCGUUAUCCGGAUUUACUGGGCGUAAAGGGAGCGUAGGUGGCUUGGCAAGUCGAAGGUGAAAUCUCGGAGCUCAACUCCGAGAUUGCCUUCAAAACUGCUAGGCUCGAGGAUUGUAGAGGAGAAUGGAAUUCCUGGUGUAGCAGUGAAAUGCGUAGAUAUCGGGAGGAAGACCAGUGGCGAAGGCGAUUCUCUGGGCAAUUCCUGACACUGAGGCACGAAGGCUAGGGGAGCGAACGGGAUUAGAAACCCUAGUAGUCC
Molecule: ribosomal RNA, 274 nt
Filed under: uncultured bacterium
Lineage: Bacteria
Description: partial 16S ribosomal RNA
Rfam family: Bacterial small subunit ribosomal RNA
Source: RNAcentral